GCUAUGCAGAAGGAAUUGUAAACUGGCACUCAGAGACUGGAAGGUUGAGCUGCAGUAUCCUCCUGGAUCAAAUGUGAUAAAAGACAAGAGUAAUGAAAGAGGCCUAAACCCAGUAGGAAGACCUGCGAUUCAACUGAUGAAAUGAUAGAGGAUAGCUAGUGAUUCCUUCCUGGGAGACUAAACGUGAGUGAGGAGACAGGUGCUGAAAUGACUGAUGUCAGAAGCAAUCUUGAGCCAGGAAAUAACAUGAGGAAAUUGAAAGGAAAUCAUUAGUUACUGGGCAAACCUUGCAGGAAAUGGGAGGAAAAAUUGUAGGAGUCAGAGGGGAUGGAGUACACCUGGAGAGCAUGGACUAUUGAAUCAACGAAAUGGUGGAUGUACAGAGCAUGAAGUGGGAAGCUAUCCCUUGGACAUCUGCUCUUUUGUGACAAGGAAAUGGAAGGGCACUGUAUAUGGGAGAAAGGGGAGCUUGGGGGGGCUGGUAGCAGGCAUGGGACCAUGGUUGGGUUAUAUUUUAU
This 518-nucleotide long non-coding RNA is filed under the name Cricetulus griseus (Chinese hamster). RNAcentral's name for it is "lncRNA (ENSCGRG00000026362.1)". Lineage: Eukaryota; Metazoa; Chordata; Mammalia; Rodentia; Cricetidae. The record is from RNAcentral.